CAUGCAAGUCGAACGAUGAAGCCUAGCUUGCUAGGUGGAUUAGUGGCGAACGGGUGAGUAAUACGUGAGUAACCUACCUUUAACUCUGGGAUAAGCCUGGGAAACUGGGUCUAAUACCGGAUACGACCAAUCUCCGCAUGGGGUGUUGGUGGAAAGCGUUAUGUAGUGGUUAUAGAUGGGCUCACGGCCUAUCAGCUUGUUGGUGAGGUAACGGCUCACCAAGGCGACGACGGGUAGCCGGCCUGAGAGGGUGACCGGCCACACUGGGACUGAGACACGGCCCAGACUCCUACGGGAGGCAGCAGUGGGGAAUAUUGCACAAUGGGCGCAAGCCUGAUGCAGCGACGCCGCGUGAGGGAUGACGGCCUUCGGGUUGUAAACCUCUGUUAGCAGGGAAGAAGAGAGAUUGACGGUACCUGCAGAGAAAGCGCCGGCUAACUACGUGCCAGCAGCCGCGGUAAUACGUAGGGCGCGAGCGUUGUCCGGAAUUAUUGGGCGUAAAGAGCUUGUAGGCGGUUUGUCGCGUCUGCUGUGAAAGGCCGGAGCUUAACUCCGUGUAUUGCAGUGGGUACGGGCAGACUAGAGUGCAGUAGGGGAGACUGGAAUUCCUGGUGUAGCGGUGGAAUGCGCAGAUAUCAGGAGGAACACCGAUGGCGAAGGCAGGUCUCUGGGCUGUAACUGACGCUGAGAAGCGAAAGCAUGGGGAGCGAACAGGAUUAGAUACCCUGGUAGUCCAUGCCGUAAACGUUGGGCACUAGGUGUGGGG
RNAcentral lists this ribosomal RNA (766 nucleotides) under uncultured bacterium. Its description in RNAcentral is "bacterial SSU rRNA". It matches the Rfam family "Bacterial small subunit ribosomal RNA", at positions 54 to 827 of the family's 1533-position model. The record is from RNAcentral.